CUUAAACACACACCCAAAUCCCUUUGAUAAGUGUAUAAAAUCUGACUGCGUUAUGGUAAAGCACUAGUAAAAAUGAGCAACCUAAUAAAAGUAUGUAUCUUUUUUGCGUCGAUUUCCAGCGUGAUUUGCGAUCAGGACCAGGAUUUUUUCGCAAGUUUACCUUCGAUUGCUUUGAAACGAGAAAUGGAAUCAAAUGAUAGAAAGCCAGUCGAAAUGAUGUUGAGCCGUUUAAACCACUAUGCCAUAGAGAUGCGCCGUUUCUUGAAUCGAAUCAAGUCGGAGAGAACUGGGAGAGGCUUCAAAUCCGAGUCAAAUUUUGCGAACAAAGUGAUCUGUUUCCCGCGAGGCUGUAUCGACAUUUCCGACGUGGGAAUUCAUCCCUAAUUCCCCCAAAAAAAUCAAUAAAAAUCGUUCAUUAAUAA
This is an RNA transcript of Tribolium castaneum (red flour beetle), 422 nucleotides long. RefSeq lists it as uncharacterized. NCBI's taxonomy places the organism in Eukaryota, Metazoa, Arthropoda, Insecta, Coleoptera, Tenebrionidae. The record is from RefSeq and is a predicted model, not a curated record. The transcript is spliced from 3 exons.